RNAcentral lists this ribosomal RNA (301 nucleotides) under uncultured bacterium. RNAcentral describes it as "partial 16S ribosomal RNA". It matches the Rfam family "Bacterial small subunit ribosomal RNA", at positions 509 to 807 of the family's 1533-position model. The record is from RNAcentral.
CAGUCGCCGCGGUAAUACGAAGGGGGCUAGCGUUGCUCGGAAUUACUGGGCGUAAAGGGCGCGUAGGCGGUUUGUUAAGUCUGUUGUGAAAUCCCCGGGCUCAACCUGGGAAUGGCAAUGGAUACUGGCAAGCUAGAGUGUGUCAGAGGAUGGCGGAAUUCCCGGUGUAGCGGUGAAAUGCGUAGAGAUCGGGAGGAACAUCAGUGGCGAAGGCGGCCAUCUGGGACAACACUGACGCUGAGGCACGAAAGCGUGGGGAGCAAACAGGAUUAGAUACCCGGGUAGUUCCUGUCUCUUAUAC